GAUCUGAGCGGUUCCGUUGCCCAGAGGUUCUUUACCAGCCAUCUAUGAUUGGUAUGGAGAAUGCUGGAAUCCAUGAAACCACAUACAACUCCAUAAUGAAAUGUGAUGUGGACAUUUGAAAGGACUUGUAUGGUAACAUUGUGCUAAGUGGUGGGACGACUAUGUUUCCCGGGAUUGCUGAUAGAAUGAGCAAAGAGAUCACUGCUUUGGCACCGAGCAGCAUGAAGAUCAAAGUCGUUGCACCGCCUGAGAGGAAAUACUCUGUCUGGAUUGGAGGAUCUAUCUUGGCAUCUCUCAGGCCCAUCGAUUGUCCACCGUAAAUGCUUUUGAGUUUGAAGUUAAGUCUGCUUCUGGAGAAGCCCUUGUGGUUUUCCAGUUUAUCUUCUUUCUCUGCUGUUCUUCAUUGUUUUCAGAUUCUGGCCUAAGACAUUUUAAAAAACUUGCAGUAUCUCUUUGUAGUAUUGUUAAUAAGAUACUCUUGUUGCUUUUUUUUUGUUGGAUAGCACAGCUGUGUGAGUGAAUAAGAACACAUAGUUUUCCGAAUCUUUCAGGAUAGUACUCCGAAUUGAAUAGUAUCAUCAGCUUAAUCAGUACAUGGACGUAGACUGUGUACUCGCAUCAUUAAGCAUUCAAAUAGUCUAAGGAGCCAAACCCUUAAGUCGUCUCCUACAUAAUUUACGUAGUAUCAGAAUACAACAAGCAGUUUAUGUCCUUGAGUUUAAAAGGGAAGGGCGUGUGAGCGCACAAACUAUAUGUUAACAUAUGAUACAUAUUAUUCCCUAUGAUGGUUUCAUGUGAUCAUGUUAUUUGAUGAUCAAACCAACCUAUCACCACGUUAUCAUAGCUGCUGCGAAACUUGAAGCCUAUUUCUGAAGAAGCUAAACAAGAUUCUCCGACCAGAACUGUGGGAUAUUUACAAUGGAAGAGUUGGGCGUUGCUGGACAAACAUUUAACAAGACUCUUGUCGUUGCCUAGAGGUAAACAGAGUGGGUAAGAAGCUAGCACUUUUCGGACCAGAAUGACAAACUUAAAUUCUUGUGUUCAGAAUCACUACCUCGUAGAAGGAAAAUAAAUUUAGGGGUUGUAAAAAACCGAACGUUUCAGGUAGGGCUGGGCAAAUAAACCGAACCCGAAAAUUUAAACCGAACCCGAUCCGAUAAAAAUGAAUCCGAACCGAUCCGAACCCGACAUAAAUACCGAAUGGAUCCUGUUUUUUGGUAUUUUGGAUUAUGGGUAUUAUCCGAACCGAACCCGGACCUAAAUGGAUAUCCGAUAGAACCCGAAACAUUUAAAAUCACAAAAAGAAUUUCUACCAAAUAUGAUCUUAAUUCUUAAUAUGUAUCCAAAAUACUUUAAGAUAUUAUUGAACUUCUAAAAUAAUUAUCAUUUACAUGAAGGUUGAUGGUGGAAUGUGGCGGUUGAUGCCUCAAGUUUUUAGAUUUUGGUUUUGUUUUUAUUGAAUAAUAUUUCUCAUUUUAUGAGAACUUAUUUUUUGCUUUAUGAUUUUAUUUAUCUGGUUUUUUUUCUAUCACUAACUAUGUUUAUCUUUCGCUUGAUUUUGAAUGAUCACGUUUGAUGUUUUUUCUUAUUUUUGAAUCGAUUUCACUUAUGUUUUGGCUAUUAAAAUAUGUACAAAUCAUGUAUUUUAAAUCCGAAGAACCAAUUUCAUUUAUGUUUUAGUUACAAAAUAUGUACAAAUCAGGUAUUUUUAAACCGAAGAACCGAUUGGGACCCGAACCCGAAAGUACAAUGGGUUAUACCGGUUCUUUGAAGAUUUACUAACCCCGACCCGAACCCGAUAGAACCCGAACCGGUCCCGAACCGAACUUUUAUAUAACCCGAAUGGGGUUGAUUUUGAUAAACCCGAAAAACCGAAACCCGAAUGGAUAAAACCGAAACCCGAUUGGGACCCCGAAUGCCCAUGCCUAGUUUCAGGAAUUGUUAUUUGCCGUAUUCACUUGAUUUAUGCGACAUUAAUAAACAUAUAUAUAAUAGAAUAUCAAAGCCGACUUAGCUCAGUGGUAGAGCGCGUGACUUUUAAUCCCGUGGCCGUGGGUUCGAUCCCCACAGUCGGCGACAACUUUUUGUUUUCCUUUUCAAUCUCAAAAAAUAUAGAACACAGUACACACAUGGCUGACAAGACCAACUUGAGUUAACCAAUCAUCAGAUCCUCAAUACUAACACAUUUUGUUUUCUCUUCUGUGAAAGAAAUGCUUAUAUGUUUGACGAAAGGUGCACAUACAGGAUGUUUGAUGUAUGUGUCACUGUUUUGGUUAAUCCUUCCAGGUCUUCAUGUUUUUUUUAACAGGGACAGAGCUUUGACUCUUCAUAGAGUUUAAUUUGUCAAUCCUUCCCUGCUCAAUUUAUAUCAAGUUGAUGAGUAUUGUAUCUAAGUUGCUGUAGGGUAAGUGAUAAAAGCUUUAAGUUCAAGAAACAUAUGAUUUGAACCAAACGUUAUACAUCAUCAAAAGCUACAAGAUGUUGUUCUCAACAUUUCAAGAAAACUAAACAGAGGCUAAGAUCCAAAAUGUGACAUGAGAAGAAACAGCAAUCUGAAACCAAGAGACGAAAGCCAACGCUACAGCUACUUGAUACCUAAGACAUGAAAACUGCUCACGGAUAUUGCAAUACUUAAGAUCUCUGGCAAAUAAGACUACAACUCCUGCUGAUGAACACGCAGCUGCAAGAGAUAACAUUGCAGUCACCUGCAAUUUAAAAAAAAACAAAAACGUUACAGCAAAGUUUAUCAUUACAGAACACUGAACAAGGAAAGAAUCAUUACAUACCCAAUCACCAACGACGAAUAAGCUAACCAAGAUUGGGUUUUGGAGAUCUUUCUUGCCCCUCAGAGCAUAAACAUCAAGACAUGCGAGGCCAAAGCUCCACAGCAACUGAAGACCCAUCGAAGCAAUCAAGUAGCUGCAAACCAAACCCGAAAAUUGAAAUCCCGACAUCUAAGGCGAGGUUAAGACAGAACCAAAAUCAACAAACAAACCAUACCAGAAAGCAGUGCGGUUAUAGAACUCGGUGGAAGAGAGCAUAACGCCGAUUGAAGCAGCAGCAGAAGCACAUUGUCCGAUUCUAAGUAACAGACCAAACACAGUUCCUGGACCUCCGAAUAUCUUCUUCAUCUCCAAAUGUAAACACCCUAAACCCAGAAACUCCGAUUAAAGAGGAGUUUUAGCGGGGAGUGGCAAAUGCAGAUGAGAGCUCUCACUCUAUAGGAGUUUCCGAAAAUGAAUCUAGCUUCGAUUAUAAGCUUCUUUUGUCUUUCUCCUUUGACAUAUCCACUUUAGGUUCGUGAGCGAGUUGACUCAGAGGUAACGUCCGACGUGGCGUAGUUAAUAGUGUUAAUUAGUUUUUUUUUUUUUGGUAUUUCGAUUGAAUUAAUUAAACGUUAAUUACGCAAUCAAUCACUGAAAUACUUAGUUUGGAUUAUGUAACAUGUUCCUCUGGUAUGAUUAUCUUUAAUGAAUUGCCUGUUCUUUGCUAUCUUAGUAAGGUUCAUCACCAUCCCUUUUUGAGUAUGACAAUGACCCACUUUUCUUUUAUGUUUCUAAUUUUUUAUGUUAAUUAGCUUUGAGUUUGUGUGGUUGUGGAGUUAUUUGUUAUAGACUGUUCUCAAAUUAGUCUGAAUUGUGAAUUUCUCUCUUAGUUUUAUACCCCAACGGAUACAGUAAGUCUGCAGGUUCUGGAGCUUGGUAAGACACAUGAAGAGCUUUGGGAUUGGUGAGAUGUUGAAGUAAGCUUAACCAUUUCUCUCCUCUGAGUAUAGAGAAAACUAUUCUCUACUUGAUUGAUCGAUGCCAAUUUCAAGAUAGUUCAUUUAAAACUUAGUAAUUGUCUUUCAUAAACCAGAAAACUGAAAUACAAAGUUCUUCGAAACUAAAGAAAAAUUCAAAUCAAACAUCCCAAAAGUAAAAAGAGGUAGCAGCAAAGAUUCUCUCAAUCUCUUCUUAUCACUGCUGUUUGGUUUCGACCUUCUUCUUCUGCCAGAGCCUGUCGACGCCACUGUCUGCGUCUCCCUGCAAUUUAAAUCAAAACGUUAAUAGAAAACCACAAUAAUCACACACUUUGCUAUAUAAACAAUCGUGGAAGACUAAUUUAACAUUUGAAAUAAUGACAAAGUAGAUUAGACGAGAGUUAUGACAGACCUGAGCACGGACAAACCCGCAGAGAGCAAGGGUGGUGAACUGGCCAGUGUAGAUACCAUCGGCAUCAAGAUGACCAAUGUUAAGCUGAACAGAGGCGUGAUCCUUUGAUGUGAUCAAUCUGUUUGUGGCCGAGCUGCAUAUUUACAACCAAAGAAUCACCUAAAUUUAAAUCGAAACAGAAUAAUAACAAAGCCGAUAUACCAUUUCCUUGGAAUGUAUAGCUCAGUGACGACACCUUCUUCGUUUUGCAUGAUUCUUAGCUUUUUAAAAUCGAUCUGAUCCAUUAAGAAACAAUUUCUCAUGAGCAAAAUAAUAGAACAUCAUUUUUUUUUAAAGAGAAACCACAUCUUCUUCAGCAGAGGAACAUGUUAUCAAUGAAGUGAAUACUAAACUGAUAAACAUUCAACGAAAGUCUAGAGAUGACGCAAUUAGUAGUAGCAAAACGUAGGAUGAUAAAUGCAUAAACAGGAUCAAGAUCACUGCAAGGAGAUUAAAGAGACUAAGAUGUAUUUCUAACCUGAGAAGAAGAAGAAUGUGUGGAGAGAGAGCAGUCCGGCGGCGAGGGGAAACGAGACUACAAAAGCAAUUUAUAGUUGCGACUUCUUAGGGUUUGCUUAGAUCUAGUAUAGCGAACCGAGCCAAUUUGAGCCGGUAUGUAAAAAUGGUAUGAACCGAACCGAACAGGCUAAAGGGAAACUGGUUUAACCGAACUGAAUAAUACAAGAUAGCUUCGGUUUAUUAGUAAACCGGAUGAUCGUAAAAAUCGAAUUAAAUCGGUACAAAACCAGAAAAGUUAUGGUUUGGAUGAAUUAAAAAACAAACUGAGCUGCAUACAGAGUCUCUAUAGCCAAUUAUCAUGUAAUCAACUUACAUUAGAUUUUGAGUUCAUUUGUUACAGAACAUGGAACAUAUCAAUGAAAGAAACAAGUAUAUAAGAUUAUAUAAUGCUUGAUUCCCCUUGGCGAAUAUUUCAGAUUUUAAACAAUAUUUUUCAAAAUUUAGUUUUGUAGACAGAAGAAGUUGUUUCACUAGCAAGCGACAAACAAUGAUAACUAACACAUACAAAUCUCGACGAAGCAAAACUGGUGUGUACAAAGUCUCUUCUUUGUUUCGUUACAAUGAGGAACUCAUAAUUUUCCAUGUUGAUCCUCUUCUCAUAGACCUCUAGACAAACCUGAUAUUGCAUACACAUCAAUAAACAAAGGUAGGUAAGAAACCACAGAAAAUAAUAUCAAUUCAAUGUGAACUUGAAUUUAAAUUUUAAACAGAACUCACACAAGAAUCACUUCAUCAAAAUCUUAACCAAAACUUGUUUUUAUGUGCCGAAACUGCGGUCUCCAGCAUCUCCAAGUCCAGGGAUGAUAAACCUGAUACACGUAUUAACGACAUUGUAUUAUUUGCUAGUUUGCUUCGAGAAAUCAAGAAUCCAGUGAAAGCAGGCCUGACGACUUACCCCUUAUCAUUGACUUCAGGAUCGAUGAUUCCAGCAUACACAUGAAGCCUUGAAUAUUGCAAACAAUUCAAUAAUCUAUCCAAAUGAUUAAAAAAAAGGUUAAAAGAGUAAAUAUUUCGGUAUUGAUACCCGGGGUACUUCUCAUUAAGCUUCGAUAGUGCAGGAGGUGCAGCAACCGCACAAAUCUGUAAUCAGGGAGACACCAGAUAAAGCUUUAUAUCUAAAGGAUAAAUGUUCUUCUAUAUCCAACGUUUCAGAAAACAACUAUAUGCACGCUUACUUACCACUUUGAUUUGCUGAACAGACAAACCACGUUCCUUCAACAUAUCCAUCGCAGCAAUUAUCGUACCGCCUGAAAUACAAACAAACUCAUGUUUUGAAGCUGUAGAAAACAUUAUGUAUUACCAUGUUAUGCAUUCACAUUCCUAUGUAUCGCUUAACAUUUGAGACACACUUCAAAACACUUAACAACAAUUGUUCUACUGUGGUGGUGCCUGAAAUGACAAGACUUCUUUACCUGUAGCAAGCAUUGGGUCCACCAAGAAUACUCUGGAAUUCUUGGGAAAUACGUCAGGCAGCCUGAAGAACAUGUAACAGAGCUGUCAUCAUAAACGCUUCAGUACUAGCUACAUAAUGAUGUGGGGAAGUUCAUACUUGUUAAGAUACACAGAAGGUAGAAGUGUUUUCUCGUCCCGACUUAUUCCUAGUAAAAAGGAUAAACACAGAGACAUAAGAAGCUAUAUAUAUAUAUAUAUAACAAUCCUAUCUUCAGGCGCAAGAGAUAAUAUAGUAAGUAUAUAUUUACCUAAAUGAUAUAUUUUAUUUGCAGGCAAAACUGUUGAUGCAUGUUCCGCAAGAGCAAGACCAGCUCUUAAAAUCGGAACAACCUAAAGCCAGGAAUAAGAAUUGUCUUUAACGUUUUUGAUGGAGAAGAAAAUAUAGAGAACAUAAGUUUUAGGGGAGAGACAAACCGCUAUAGGCUCUCUAGGAUCAAUGAACUCAACAGAAGCAGCACCCAUCGGAGACAUGAUUUCUCCAACAACAGUUGGCUUUCAUCAUCAUCACAUAAUAGAAAAAUCAAGAAAAUACACACACGACACGGAGGGAAAAAUCAUAUACAAAUAAAAGAAGAGACGUAGUAAAACGUUUUAAACGCACCAGCCACUCUCGAGAUGCUUCAUACAUCAACAGUCUCCCUAGUUCACCUAUUGCAUUCCCUAUGAUCAUCAUAAGAACACAUGAAUUUUUUAUUUUAUCAUAAAAAUGAAAAAUCUUCUUUUUUCAAACGCAAUUUAGCUUUUUAUUUUAUUUUUUUUAUGAUAAAGAGAUUAUGGACCUGGACCCGUACAUGGUGCCCUUAGACACGAGGUCCAAACAACAUGUUAAAUUAACUGAUUAUUUUUGAAUGAUUAAGAGGUUAUAAGACACCAUAUCCAUGUUAAAUUAACUAUACUGUCGGAUUAACAGCUAAAGAUUGAAUCUGCACAAACACUCAAAUCAAAACCUUAUGCUACUCACUGAAAAUAGGACAAGGAGUUUGGUCGUUUCUCAGGACAGAGAUCCAGUGUUUGAUCAAAGGAUGAGGUGGCACGAACACCUGAAAUUAAAAAGAAAAAAAAAACAAAACUAAGAAUCAAUUCACUAUUGAUUAGUUCCGAUCUCAAAAUUUACCAGCAUCCUAUUGCUUCCGUUAAUGGAGCCUUCGGACGCCGCCAUUUUAGCUCUAACCGGAAUAUUCCGCCGUGAAAGAGAAGCACCCAAAGUCUGUAUGUAUGAAGAAUUCGAGAUGAGGAUCCAACUCGAGGAGGGAGUGAGGUUAUAUUAAAUAGUGGUGGGUUACCUGACCGAGGAAGGGGGAGGAAUUAAAGGAGAGGAGAGAGGAAGGGGUAGGGGUAGGGUUUACGCGGCCGCAUUGAUCUUGUCGGGGACCUAAACGCAGCGUUUCCGAGUAACAUCGGAAAGCGUUACUAAUUGAGUACGCCAUUUCCCGACGAUAUCCGAACUCUGGUCUAACUGAGAACGACGAUCCAGCGAUUCAAAUACAUAAUAAACCGGCCCUCACUAAACUGUACCGGAUUAUUUUGGGGACUUCAACUUACGAUUGGGCUACAUUUUUCGUUUUUUGGACAAUCCCAUUGGGCUUUGUUUAUUACACGCUUUAUACUAUGCGGAGGAUAUGGGACUAUGGAGCGGAGCUUAAGCAAGUGCUCAAUAUAUCAGCUUACUGUAAAAAAAAAAAAAAGACUACUACCAAAGAUUUAUCUGUUUCUUCUUCUCCAAAUCCUACAAAGCAGCUUACAUUAAAGCAUUUACGACUCUAUUAGUCUUACUGGGUAUCAUGGAUAAUAGCCUCAACAUACAACUGUAUUGAUAGAGAAAGAGAUUAACAAUCGCUGGUUUAGCACAUUUUGAUAUAUUUUAAGAGGAAAAACAAUUUAGAAAUGGGUGAUACUUUUUGAAACCACUAGCUGCAGACAGCACAACCCAAAAGCUUAUCAACUUAACGAAUUAAUUAAUUAGUUUAUAAACUAAUCAUGUAUAAGAAGUAUCAUUUCUAAUUCUUGCCCAUGUCCAAGAAGCAUCAAGAUGACGAAAGAUAGGAUCAUAUGAUCAUUAGAAAGGACAAGCAUGGAGAAAAAGAUGAGAAAAAGAGCACGUUAACCAAUAGGACUAAAUCAUUUUAUGAAGUGGCUGUGAAUUGGUAUUGGCUUGUAAAGGACAACGUCAUAAGUUAUACAAAUUAUAAAUUUCUACCAAAAAAAUGUUGAUAAUUUAUCUACCAAAAAGGUAGAAAAUAGAAUAUUUAGUUGAUUGUUUUUUUAAUCAUGAUGAUGCCUUUUGAGCAGUAAAGGAGAAGCUUGCUAGUUAAUCACUUGAUAUGUACGUUUACUAUAUUACAAAUUGUAAUCAUACACUCGUUUGAUCCUAUUUGAAAUGUUAUUUCGAUCGUCCAAAAAACUAAAAAACGUUAGUUUAUAUUGAUUAAUUGCUAUAUAAACUUGGUUUUUGAAGUUAAUCAAUUGUAUUCUACUAUUCUGAACGUAAAACGAAUUUCAACGAUAUAAACUUUAGGGAAAAAAAAAACAAGAUUCUAUUAUCUUUAGCUAUAUAGAAUGUGUCAAUGCCCCCACACAGUUUUUAGUUAUCGGAUCGUAGAAUCAUAAAUCAUCACUCAAUAUCAACGGCUGUGAUCAAUUACAACGUACAGCUUUUCCCCACUCAAUCUUCUUUAAGACAUGUCAGUGAAGCAAAACACUUCCAAGCUUAGCCGACAAAAAUGGCAGAACUAGUUCGUUAUUACACUCCAGGGAUCGUAGUUAUACUUAUUCUAUCAGUUCUUCUCUUCUCGAUCACACGUGCUGAUUUACCAGGCACGUGGGAGCUCAUCGUACAAGACGCCGGUAUAGCCUCUAUGCACACGGCGGUUACCCGGUUCAACACGGUGGUUCUUCUCGAUCGGACAAAUAUUGGUCCAUCCAAAAAAGCUCUUGGUCGGCACCGGUGCCGGAAAGACCCAAACGACGUCGUUCUGAAACGUGAUUGCUACGCUCAUUCGGUUCUAUUUGACCUUGGUACAAACCAGAUCCGACCACUGAUGAUCCAAACCGACACGUGGUGCUCUUCGGGUCAGUUUUUAUCUGACGGUUCUUUGCUUCAAACGGGUGGGGAUAGAGACGGGUUUAAAAAGAUCAGGAGAUUCGAACCGUGUGACCCAAACGAGACCUGCGAUUGGGUGGAGCUCCAAGACACCGAGUUAACAACCGGACGCUGGUACGCUAGUGACCAGAUAUUACCGGAUGGUUCGGUUAUCAUCGUCGGUGGGAGAGGAACCAAUACGGUUGAGUAUUACCCUCCUCGCGAGAACGGCGCCGUUCCGUUUCAGUUUCUUGCUGACGUGGAGGAUAAACAGAUGGAUAAUCUCUACCCUUACGUUCAUCUCCUCCCCGACGACGGCGGAAACCUCUUCAUCUUCGCCAACAGCCGCGCCGUCAAAUACGAUCACCGCCUAAACACCGUGGUGAAAGAGUAUCCGCCUCUAGACGGCGGCCCGAGGAAUUAUCCGUCGGGUGGAUCAUCAGCGAUGCUAGCGAUCCAAGGAGAUUUCGCCACGGCGGAGAUCCUAAUAUGCGGCGGAGCUCAAUCCGGCGCUUUCACAGCGCGUGCCGUUGACGCACCGGCGCACGGAACCUGCGGUCGAAUCGUCGCUACCGCGCCGGAUCCGGCUUGGGUGACGGAGGAGAUGCCGUUCGGGAGGAUCAUGGGAGAUAUGGUGAAUCUUCCGACGGGAGAGAUUCUGAUCAUAAACGGAGCUCAAGCCGGAAGCCAAGGAUUCGAAAUGGGAUCGGAUCCGUGUCUUUACCCGCUUCUAUACCGACCCGAUCAACCAAUUGGAUUGCGAUUCAUGACACUGAAUCCAGGAACCGUACCGAGAAUGUACCAUUCGACGGCGAAUCUGUUACCGGACGGUCGAAUCCUCCUCGCCGGAAGUAACCCUCACUACUUCUACAAAUUCAACGCCGAGUUUCCCACCGAGUUACGUAUCGAAGCGUUUUCUCCGGAGUAUCUUUCACAGGAUCGAGCCAAUCUCCGACCCGAGCUCCGAGAAAUUCCGCAGAUCGUAAGAUACGGCGAGGUCUUCGAUGUGUUCGUGACGGUGCCGUUGCCGGUUGUGGAGACGAUUCAGAUCUAUUGGGGAAGCGCGCCUUUUGCGACUCACUCGUUUUCUCAGGGUCAACGGCUCGUGAUGUUGACCGUUGGGCCAUCAAUACCUGACGGAGAAGGACGUUAUAGGAUUCAGUGCACGGCUCCACUAACCGGACGCUGGUACGCUAGUGACCAGAUAUUACCGGAUGGUUCGGUUAUCAUCGUCGGUGGGAGAGGAACCAAUACGGUUGAGUAUUACCCUCCUCGCGAGAACGGCGCCGUUCCGUUUCAGUUUCUUGCUGACGUGGAGGAUAAACAGAUGGAUAAUCUCUACCCUUACGUUCAUCUCCUCCCCGACGACGGCGGAAACCUCUUCAUCUUCGCCAACAGCCGCGCCGUCAAAUACGAUCACCGCCUAAACACCGUGGUGAAAGAGUAUCCGCCUCUAGACGGCGGCCCGAGGAAUUAUCCGUCGGGUGGAUCAUCAGCGAUGCUAGCGAUCCAAGGAGAUUUCGCCACGGCGGAGAUCCUAAUAUGCGGCGGAGCUCAAUCCGGCGCUUUCACAGCGCGUGCCGUUGACGCACCGGCGCACGGAACCUGCGGUCGAAUCGUCGCUACCGCGCCGGAUCCGGCUUGGGUGACGGAGGAGAUGCCGUUCGGGAGGAUCAUGGGAGAUAUGGUGAAUCUACCGACGGGAGAGAUUCUGAUCAUAAACGGAGCUCAAGCCGGAAGCCAAGGAUUCGAAAUGGGAUCGGAUCCGUGUCUUUACCCGCUUCUAUACCGACCCGAUCAACCAAUUGGAUUGCGAUUCAUGACACUGAAUCCAGGAACCGUACCGAGAAUGUACCAUUCGACGGCGAAUCUGUUACCGGACGGUCGAAUCCUCCUCGCCGGAAGUAACCCUCACUACUUCUACAAAUUCAACGCCGAGUUUCCCACCGAGUUACGUAUCGAAGCGUUUUCUCCGGAGUAUCUUUCACAGGAUCGAGCCAAUCUCCGACCCGAGCUCCGAGAAAUUCCGCAGAUCGUAAGAUACGGCGAGGUCUUCGAUGUGUUCGUGACGGUGCCGUUGCCGGUUGUGGAGACGAUUCAGAUCUAUUGGGGAAGCGCGCCUUUUGCGACUCACUCGUUUUCUCAGGGUCAACGGCUCGUGAUGUUGACCGUUGGGCCAUCAAUACCUGACGGAGAAGGACGUUAUAGGAUUCAGUGCACGGCUCCACUCAACGGCGCCGUCUCUCCGCCAGGUUAUUACAUGGCCUUCGCCGUUAACCAAGGCGUUCCUAGCGUCGCUCGGUGGAUGCG
RNAcentral lists this long non-coding RNA (11553 nucleotides) under Brassica napus (rape). RNAcentral's name for it is "long non-coding RNA (BNAP_LNC006086)". The stretch from base 2005 to 2076 matches the Rfam family "tRNA". The record is from RNAcentral. Lineage: Eukaryota; Viridiplantae; Streptophyta; Magnoliopsida; Brassicales; Brassicaceae.